This is a long non-coding RNA of Salvelinus fontinalis (brook trout), 2688 nucleotides long. RefSeq lists it as uncharacterized. The transcript is spliced from 4 exons. The record is from RefSeq and is a predicted model, not a curated record. Lineage: Eukaryota; Metazoa; Chordata; Actinopteri; Salmoniformes; Salmonidae.
CCUAUGAUGAAAAUUACAGGCCUCAUCUUUUUAAGUGGGAGAACUUGCACAAUUGGUGGCUGACUAAAUAUUUUUUUGCCCCACUGUACAUGCAUACAGUACUGUACAAAAGUGUUAGGCACAUGUACAAUUCUGUAAAACACAUAUGUUUCUAAAUUAAAAAAAAAAAAUACUAUGAAGGAACAUUUUCUUAUUUCACCUUCUCUUAUAUCCAGAGUGGCAGGUGAAAUAUUUACAGCGAGCCUUGAACAAAGUGGAACGUCUCCACGAUUUAUGCAGGAGUGGUGUUACCACUAUCUGGUGACCGGGACCCUGAAGGACCUAACAAAGGGUAGUGUACAUGACACAGAGUUGUCCCCAUUCAUCGAAACGAGACAUUUUGCUGCAUUUAACCACAAAACGUACAGCGAUGCUUCAGCAGCUGCAUGAAGGCCUUGAAGUCUACAUCUUAAUUGAGGUCAUGCAGAAGAAACCGAAGGAAUGUCUCAAUCUCUUUGUGAUUGGCGAUGAUGACAUGGUUGAUGCACACUACAUAAUCUCAAACCUGGCCCCAGAGAUGAGUGAAUGUGGUUCUCCAAAACAAAAGGAGACAGAAAUCUUGGAUUUCUUUCAAGAUUUCCUCCAAGAACUUGAUGAUGGAAAAGUGAGCCUCUCUGUGGCUGAAGGCAAUGGAGAGAAGGAAGACAGUGGAGAGAAAGAAGACAGUGGAGAGAAAGAAGACAAUGGAGAACCACUUUCUGUUCCCAGUGUAAUGCAGUGGCUGACAGGGCAGCCACACACACCUGCUUGUCUCAGAGAGAGAAAAGUUCAAGAUAGUGGUCAUUUUUGACUACUCAUGUCUACAACGCAUGCCUAACCACACUUUGUUACCCUGUUGUUAGUACAUACACCAAAACGAUAACAUUUCCCACAGCCCUCUGAGAGAUUACGAUGCAUUUAAAUCAAACACUGAAACAACAAUCAAAUACGUUGCAAGGUUUGAUAGAGUGUAGCUGAAAGACUACUCAAUUUAACUGACUAAUAAUCCACAUACAGUACAUUAUGUUCCUGUGUAAAGAAGUCAAAUCUUUCUAGCUUUAUUUUUGGAUUAAUGCUUAAAUGUACAUCCUUGACAACUGUGAUUUAGAUCUUUUUUUUAUUUUAUUAACCUCUUUCUACUCAGAGCAUUCAUAGGAAGAUGGUAGACUGCAGCGAUAGCUCAGAGAUCUAAACACUGGAGGGAUGAAUGGACUAUUGGAAAUAGUCAGAGAGACUGAUAUAGUAUUUGGGCUUUUGUAAAGUUUUUGCAUUAUGUUUUAUACACGGGUCUUAGGCUAUACCUUCAAACACCAAAACCUUAGGUGGCUCCAUUGCUAGUGAAGAGUGUUACACUGUAUCAACAAAAUGUGUUUUUUGUAUCAUCCUAGUCCAUGGGAAUUAUGUAAAUGAAAUGACAUACAAUUCACUCAUUUUCUGGUCCUUGUCAACAUACAGUGUUCCAGAUGUACUGCAACUACUUUAGUGUAUCAUCGGUUCUCUUCCCUUUAAUAUGUGAUUCUUUCUGUUUUUAUUCUUUAUUUUGUUUAACAAGUGCCUGAAGCUGUUCUAUAUACAGUAGACCUAUGGUGGCCAAAGACUCCAUUUUAGUAUAGUGUACACCAGGUGGUAUAGAAUACAAGUAUAUAAACUUUAUCCAAAUGCAAUGUAAUAGAUCAAUUUAUCUCCGGGCUUGACGUCUAUCUUAUUGAGAGAUUCUUUAAGCUAGCAUUAUACACAAGUAAAGGUGCUAGGUCUGUCUUUAUGUUAUUAAUUUGUAGUACUGUAUCCUGUAACCACCAGAGUCUACACCUCUGGAGCUCAGAAAUGAUGAAGAUAACACUGAGACAGUGCCACUCUGUUAGACAGGAAUUUGGUGCUGAAGUACAAUAAUACUUUACAAGUCCUUUUGAUUACCCAAGGUUCAUUUGUAUGCAGCAAGGGAUGGAAGGUUUUAUUAAAAUGUACAUUUAAGGGAUUUUUCAGUUGCUCAUUUUUAUAUUUUGACAUGACAAAGUUGUGUAUUUGUGGAUCUACUGUAUUGGUGUUUACAUAAUUGUACUAACCACCGUUCACUGAGCUCUGUGUCACUGUAACAUUGUUAUGUCACAACCUGCUUUUGAUUUUCAUGUUAAGACACUGGAUGUCAUGUACACUAACUGUAAAGGUGACAGCUCGAUAAAUGAUAUGGGGAGAGAAAGUCACCUCAGGAGCCUUUAUGACACUUAUGGAUUCUUGCACUCUUCUGUAACUGGAUAGUGUUUUAUAGAUCACUGCAUUAUUAGAACGUACUAUAGAUUCACCUCGGAACUUGGAACCCGUUUGCUGUAUGUCCAAUGGUAGAGCCGGGAACAUGUUACAAUUAUUCACGUGAUUAUUUUGACACUGUUAUACUACAUAAUGUUGAUACAUGGUAUUUAUCAGUUUUAUAUGUUCAAAUGUUGGGUUUGUUUUUAGAGAGAAGUGUCAAUUAACAAAGAUGCUUUGUGAAAAAUAAAUACCAUUGGUUUACAAUAAGUUUAAUUACAUUUCAUAAAAGCUCUUUUCAAUGAAUGAAACGAGUUUGUUUACAUCAUACCAAUUAAGAGGUGCUGUUUUCUUUUCCAGCAAAAGAUAUACACAUUUUUGCCAUUGUCAAGAGUGGCACUGGGGCUAAAACAAUAUCCUACAUGG